Molecule: ribosomal RNA, 451 nt
Filed under: uncultured bacterium
Lineage: Bacteria
Description: bacterial SSU rRNA
Rfam family: Bacterial small subunit ribosomal RNA
Source: RNAcentral
AGCGAACGCUGGUGGCAGGCUUAACACAUGCAAGUCGAGCGGGCGUAGCAAUACGUCAGCGGCAGACGGGUGAGUAACGCGUGGGAACGUACCUUUGGUUCGGAACAACACAGGGAAACUUGUGCUAAUACCGGAUAAGCCCUUACGGGGAAAGAUUUAUCGCCGAAAGAUCGGCCCGCGUCUGAUUAGCUAGUUGGUAGGGUAAUGGCCUACCAAGGCGACGAUCAGUAGCUGGUCUGAGAGGAUGAUCAGCCACAUUGGGACUGAGACACGGCCCAAACUCCUACGGGAGGCAGCAGUGGGGAAUAUUGGACAAUGGGGGCAACCCUGAUCCAGCCAUGCCGCGUGAGUGAUGAAGGCCCUAGGGUUGUAAAGCUCUUUUGUGCGGGAAGAUAAUGACGGUACCGCAAGAAUAAGCCCCGGCUAACUUCGUGCCAGCAGCCGCGGUAAU